Long non-coding RNA from Helianthus annuus (common sunflower), 2075 nucleotides. RefSeq lists it as uncharacterized. The transcript has 6 exons. NCBI's taxonomy places the organism in Eukaryota, Viridiplantae, Streptophyta, Magnoliopsida, Asterales, Asteraceae. The record is from RefSeq and is a predicted model, not a curated record.
AUUCUUCUAAACUCUCUUGAUUCUAAAAUGUUGAGCAACGAUCAUCAGUGAAGGAUGUCGCAAGUUCACUUAGCAGUAGUACUACCUCAGGCAGGCAGAGAUGUAACCGUCGGAUAUCAUACAGAUCCGGUGGCGGCUAUGGUAGAUGUGGUUCUGUUUCAAGAGAGAACGAGAAAAGAGAGAGGUCAUCCCUAGGGUUUUGUUGUUUCGGGACAAAAAUCAUGGUUGUUCUCUCCAACCUACCCGUUGUGGAUGCAAAAAUGGGUCAAGCAAAAGAAGCCCUAAUUACCCUUCACCGCCCGGAAGUUAAUCAUAAUCCAACGUCUAAGAAUCUUCUUUAUGCCGCAGCCAGAGAACUUUCUCGAAGGAUAAUGGGUGAAGAAGCUGGCGACGACACGAAGACCCAACAAAAGUUUUCUAAGGUUCAUCGGCCAGCCACAGCGACACUGAUGGCAGUUGACGGUUGAGGAUGGUGAUUGCGUUGCGAGAGUCACCCAGAGUGAUAACAAAUUAGGGCUUCGCAUCUCUGUUAAGGCUUUUUGUUGAUUCGAGCUUCACAGGUUUCGAUUAGAAUAUCUCAGUUAGGGGUUUUCAUCUCUAUUAGGGUUUAGAGCGUGUUGUUUAGUUGCAUUUUGUAGCAGAUCUAGGAUUCGCAAAUUUGUUAAGGCUUUGUGUCAUUUUUUAAUUUUCUCUGUGUUUUCUCCACUAUAGACCAAUGUUUGUUAGGAAGGAAAGAAUAGCAACGACAGAGCAUUCGGCAAUCACUGAAGAACCUGAGAUUGAUCUGUUUGAAAGGAGACAUGAAAAUCCGUUUUGUUUACCCAUAGGACCCAAAGGAAGCAAAUAUAUUUUGGAGAAGUUUGCAGGUCGAUGAGGAAACAAGGAAGGCCAUAGGGUUAAUCGAUCAACAAUACACAAAUCAGUUCUUUUGAAGCAUGUCUUGUCAUGAAACACCAUUUGGCAGAAACAGUUCAAAAGGCUUAUGGGUCCUGAUAAUGGUUUUGGCCAAAAGCUCAACUGAUGGAAUAUCUAUAUAAACUUGUAGUGGAUGCCCAUCACGGCAUGCUAGACUACAUGUAGUAGAUGCCUUGUUCGCUACAGGAUAACUUGAUGCCCUCAAAUUUUGCCUGUAGAGUUGAUGACAUUCGAUCAUAAAGGCAGUAAUUUUGAUACUAACUCAUGGUUUUGCGGUUUGCUUUUUGUUUGUUGGAGAAAAUUUGUUUCUACACUCGGGUAGCCGGAUUUUAACCUCUAAUUGUCUUAAGGGCAAUGCAGGAAAGUUCACCUCUAAUUGACCAUCUCCUACAAUCAACUCAGCCACAAGAUAGCAGUUCUCAGACAAGGCAGAGGCGACAGAUUCUUCUAGAAGGCUUGGAGGCAGCCCUUCAGCUAUUCAUUUGUUACUAUAGUGUAUGAGGACAAUGAAGGAGACAUGAUGCUUGUUGUUGGGGAUGUCCCGUGGCGGUGCCAAAGAAUCAAGACGAACUUCAAAUUCGAGUACAAUUUUCUGAAGAUACACUAAUUUUGCAAAUGCAGAAGAAUUUGAUGACAUGGCUGCUAAAGUAAACUCUUUUCCGUUUAGAUUUAUGCUGGUGUUGUCCAACGUUUAAAAGAACGGAAAUGAGUUUUGAGGCGUUUUCCCUUCGCCUCACGAGGCGUACGCCUCGAGGCAAAACGAGGCGUAAGGCCGAGGCGGUAUUAAUAAAUAAAUAUAAAAUUAUAUAUAUAUAUAUAUAUAUAUUAUAAAAAUAAUAAUACUAACUAAUUUCAUCAUCAGAUUCAUCAAAAACACACUUAAAAAAGACAUGAAAUGCUUGAAAUUGACACAAAAAGUCAAAACAUCAAAAACAACUAUCAAAAUCCCCUGAGGCCUCAGACUCGUUUUUUGGCCAUUUCGCCUCGAGGCGCACGCCUCAAACGUUUUUUAAAACCAUGAUGUUGUCUUCAGCAAUUAGAUGUCACUGGCUUUCGAUUUGAAUGUGUGUAUCAUACUCAUACCAAUAAUGAUAACGCCUUAAAGGAUUAAAUUAUGCCCCCUUAUCUUGGUAGGUAAAUAUUUGAGUUUAUUGUCGUGA